This is a long non-coding RNA of Dendroctonus ponderosae (mountain pine beetle), 146 nucleotides long. RefSeq lists it as uncharacterized. The transcript has 3 exons. The record is from RefSeq and is a predicted model, not a curated record. NCBI's taxonomy places the organism in Eukaryota, Metazoa, Arthropoda, Insecta, Coleoptera, Curculionidae.
ACCUCACCGACGGGAUGGUAACUAUUUAUCCUUUAUUGUAAGGUUUGGCUUAAUGUGUUACGAUGCAGCAUUUGAAAUGCAGUCUACUACCACUUUUCGAUGAUCGAAAGUCCAACAUUUUCCCAUUAGGCAACAUAUGCAGAGAC